CGCCUUUUGAACUAUAAACAUAAAAGGUCCUGCCUGCCCAGUGACAUUUGUUUCAACGGCCGCGGUAUCAUGACCGUGCAAAGGUAGCGUAAUCACUUGUCUUUUAAAUAAAGACCAGUAUGAAUGGCAAGACGAAACCUAACUGUCUCCUUAAGCUAAUCAAUGAAAUUGAUCUUCCCGUGCAGAAGCGGGAAUAAUAAUAUAAGACGAGAAGACCCUGUGGAGCUUCAAAAUUAAGCUAACAGAUCAUAAUGCCUUAGCAUAAAGUUUUGGGUUGGGGCGACCAUGAGGUAAAAUACAACCCUCAAGACGAAAACUAAGAAGGACACUUCAAAUAAAUAACAAUAUAGUAAUUGACCCAAUAAUUGAUCAACGGACCAAGUUACCCCAGGGAUAACAGCGCAAUCUGCUCAAAGAGCCCUUAUCGACGAGCAGGUUUACGACCUCGAUGUUGGAUCAGGACUCCCAAAUAAUGUAACAAUUAUUAAAGGUUCGUUUGUUCAACGAUUAAAGUCCU
This 517-nucleotide ribosomal RNA is filed under the name Pseudoeurycea cochranae (Cochran's false brook salamander). RNAcentral's name for it is "partial 16S ribosomal RNA". It matches the Rfam family "Bacterial large subunit ribosomal RNA", at positions 1817 to 2597 of the family's 2925-position model. Lineage: Eukaryota; Metazoa; Chordata; Amphibia; Caudata; Plethodontidae. The record is from RNAcentral.